GAUGAACGCUGGCGGCGUGCCUAAUACAUGCAAGUCGAGCGAACGGACGAGAAGCUUGCUUCUCUGAUGUUAGCGGCGGACGGGUGAGUAACACGUGGAUAACCUACCUAUAAGACUGGGAUAACUUCGGGAAACCGUAGCUAAUACCGGAUAAUAUUUUGAACCGCAUGGUUCAAAAGUGAAAGACGGUCUUGCUGUCACUUAUAGAUGGAUCCGCGCUGCAUUAGCUAGUUGGUAAGGUAACGGCUUACCAAGGCAACGAUGCAUAGCCGACCUGAGAGGGUGAUCGGCCACACUGGAACUGAGACACGGUCCAGACUCCUACGGGACGCAGCAGUAGGGAAUCUUCCGCAAUGGGCGAAAGCCUGACGGAGCAACGCCGCGUGAGUGAUGAAGGUCUUCGGAUCGUAAAACUCUGUUAUUAGGGAAGAACAUAUGUGUAAGUAACUGUGCACAUCUUGACGGUACCUAAUCAGAAAGCCACGGCUAACUACGUG
Molecule: ribosomal RNA, 497 nt
Filed under: uncultured bacterium
Lineage: Bacteria
Description: partial 16S ribosomal RNA
Rfam family: Bacterial small subunit ribosomal RNA
Source: RNAcentral